Molecule: long non-coding RNA, 2924 nt
Organism: Pungitius pungitius (ninespine stickleback)
Lineage: Eukaryota; Metazoa; Chordata; Actinopteri; Perciformes; Gasterosteidae
Exons: 4
Source: RefSeq, a predicted model, not a curated record
UGCUGUAGGAGACACCGUGGCCUCAAUGACCACUGACUAGUUGCCCUCACAUCCCAUGUGAUGAAGGUGCUGGAGAGGCUGCUCUUGACCCACCUUCAAGCCCAGAUAAAAUCAUCACCGGGCCCUCUGCAAUUUGCAUUGCCUUAUGUGGGAGUGGAUGACGCCAUCAUCUACCUGCUGCCACGAGCCCAGUCGCACCUGGAUGGUGGCUCUAUCCCUUUCUUUGACUUCUCCAAUCAGUGAUUCUGGCGCUUCACAGUUCUGUGUACCUUGUACACAACUCACUUCAGUUAGGGCAGCUCCGACCGCUGGGCGCUACAUGACUUGUAAAAAUAAAUGCUGCAGCCUGCCGAAGAGCAACGUCAGUUUUUACGGCAUAAUGCCGGUAUGAACAGUGCGUGAGUUACCGUAAAACCUUGAUUAAAGACUACAUAGAAGACUGUAAAAAUUGUCAGCCCCUCCCCACUCUUUAUUCUUAAACCGGAAAUAUGAUCAUUAGCGCCUAAAAGAACGUUUUGUGUAUUCUUGUGUGAGUACUACACUUUUAAAUGCUAUUUCCCAUUCUAAAUUCAUAAUUUAUGUCUGCACAUAUAAAUACUUGUUCUGAAUACAAGGGCUUGUAAAUGUAGUAGUUGUAGUUUUUAUUCUUAAAAUAUCAAUGUUUGUCUACAUUUUUAUUUGUUCAAAAAUGCUUCCAGUUUUAUUAGAAAUUAAAUAAAAUACAUAUUAAAAUGUAUACUUAAUUCUAGUUGAGUAAUAACGUCUCAACUUCACCAGGUAUUUUAUGUAAUCCUUCGGUUUUAGUAAUUACUAUUACCCUUCUACGUUAUUAACAAGGCCCAGCAGAACAGGCUGAGCCCCAAUGCUCCCUCAAGCUAAUGGUGACUGAAGGAGUGGGGGGAUGGGCGAGGGUACGGUGGGGACAGUCAAUGUCAGGUUUUGUGUUAAGAACCUUAAGUUUCGUUUUUUUACACAAAACCGAACUGUUACCAUCCACGUGGGGUCCUCGGUCUGGCCACGCCCCCACCAAGCACCUGCUACCGUCCAUUUCCCUCAGACUGCCGAGCAGCAGACAACGUGACGGUGCUGGCUGCAGAAGCUGGAUAGAAAUGGUGAGUUUUUAAUUAUUGGACUAGCUUCUAAUGUAAAACAGUGCUUUUUACGUUUACUUUGAUACUUUUAAUAUAUGUACUGCCAUAUAAAAUGAGCUGUUGCAAUGUGCUAAACUCAACUUAGAUGGGAAGCUAAUGUUAGCUAACAAUAAGCAAGCAUGUGCAACUAGCACCACAAAUAGUGCUGUUAAGUUUACUUUGAUACUAUUUUCAUAUGUACUGCCAUAUAAAAUGAGCUGUUGCAAUGUGUUAAACUCAACUUAAAUGGACAGCUAAUGUUAGCUAACAAUAAGCAAGCAUGUGCAAGCAGCAGCAUGUGCACGCGUUGUGAAAUAGAAUGCUGGACAGCUAAUUAGUUAUUUAUUAUAUACUAUAUAAAUAUAUUCAUGUUUUAUCAAUAUCUUUUCACACAGAAUGUGAAUAUUAUGCUGAACAAAGGGAGUGUAAUACUUAAUCUGCGUUAAGACCUGGAUUAUAACUAAUUUCCCUUUAACCAUUUUAAGUAUCCUUACGGUGGCUUUUGGGCCUAUAACACUUAAUAAGCAGUUUUCCAUUUGCCCAAAGAGUGAUUGUAAUAUCUACCCAUGUAUAAAUAGGCAUUUUAAUUCAGAUUGUCAUAGGUAUUGAGAUAGAUAAUAUAAUGUUUGUCGUUAAGAACAGAAGUAGAUGUUGUUACUAUAAUGCAUUCCAUAACAGAUAAACUUAAUUCAUUUCAGUAAAAAAAAAAAAAAAGAGUACUGUAAUGGGUUGGAUGUAUAGCUUUGGCUGAAUGUGUCCCUUGUGCUUUUAGGAGGAUGGAGCAUGUUUGCCAUCCAGUAGUGACAGCUCGAAGUGCACAGAUGCUGAUGUCGGAGAAAUGAAGGAGCCUUUGACCGUGAACAUACUAACCAGGUAGUUCCGAUGAAAAGAUGCUGCUGGCUGGAGAGGUCUGGUGAAUCUCACACAAAAAAGGGUCACCACAAACAAAGAAGAAGAAGUGGAGAAGAGGAAAUCGAAGCUGUUGAAAGGACCUUAAUGGACUACAUCAAUGGUGGUCAGUGGUCAGAAAUGCAUCACAACAUCGUCACUGGCCGAUCAAGGGAUGAGUUGUCAAAAUAUAUAUUAAAAACUGAAUUUAAAAGAAUUUAAAAAAAGGUAAGCCGCAUUUUCAUCAGAUGGAAGAUUAAAUUCCUGGUGGACUGCCAGCACGUUUACAGACAUUGUUUACAGUAGUCUUAUUGCUCCCUGUUCUGUUAUUGUUAUAUUCAUAUAAUAUUUGAAAGUUGAAAUGUUGUGCACUGCUGUUGUGUGUGUAUAUACACACAUUCCCCUCCAUGAUGCUUUAAACUGCAUAGUUUAAAAAAAAUAAAGAUGCAAUAUAUCAAACAAUAUUAUAGAGUGGGGUUUAAUAUUCAUAGAUAAUGAGUCAUUAUACAAUGAUAAUGAGUUAUUAUACAAUUAUAACAUUCAAUGGUGUAUAUAUUCAGCAUGAAUUGACAAAAUAUGUAUUAAGUGCCUUAGAGUUUCUAAAAAGUACCCUUUAUUGAGUACCUUACCUUGUUUGAGACACAUUUUGAACACUGCCCCCUGGUGUGAUUUUGUAUUAUGACAUAAUUGGACGGUCCCCACCGGAAUAGAGAAACCAGAAAAAUAUUCAACUCUAUAAAUUUGAGAAAUUUUGAGAUUUAAGAUGAUAUUGGGGUUUGAAAAAAAUUAAGGAAAAUGAUUUGAUUGAAAGUAUGCCAUUAUUCUGUUAAAAAAAAUGAGGUCCCCACGCUUCACCUCUGUGCAUAAGUCCCCACCGGCAUAGAAGAACCCGUCUGUGUGUGUGUG